CAGACACCAUUACUAGACUAGGCCCUUGAUUUUUAAAUUGUUUACAGAGAAGAAACCACGUAGACAAAAUAGACUCUACGCUAAACAAGGGAUGUAAGAUGAACUCGGGUGGCAGAGAGGGUCUGCGUUGUGAAUUAGUUGGGAUUGUUACAAGCAUCAGCAUUUUUAUAAAUAACCAUGCUGUUGAAAUUGCCCUUGUCAACAUGGAAGUCUGCUUUUAUUCACUUACUGCAGAUAUUUGUUUACCUCUUCCACAGGAUGCCCCCAGCUGAAAGGCAAAAUCAAGCCACCCAAAGGAAAGGAACAGGACUGACUUUGUCCUAUUAACACGGCACGCACGUGGCUGGCAUUUGCAGGAACCUGCUAGCAGGAACUCUACACUCUACAAAUAAGUGUCACUAUGGAAACUAAUCAAAUGAACAGAAGUAUGAAAGAGACCGCCCCAGGAACAUGUCUAAGAGGCAUAAAUAUUACUAUCAACAAAUUCUUCAGUUUAAAGGGCCCCAUUGAAAAGGUUAAACAAGCUGGCCAGGUGUCU
Molecule: long non-coding RNA, 538 nt
Filed under: Dromaius novaehollandiae (emu)
Lineage: Eukaryota; Metazoa; Chordata; Aves; Casuariiformes; Dromaiidae
Description: lncRNA (ENSDNVG00000001086.1)
Source: RNAcentral